AAUUCUUUUGUUUUUUUAAAGAAAGAAGGAACCUCAUAUAAAAUUUCUCGUCUAACAUAAUUUCUUGUCUAUGCUUGUUAUUUGAAUGGCCACAUCUCCUGCAUUGUAGUUCAAUUAUUUCAUUGGAGCGUCAUCCUAAUUAAGACCUUGCCUUAUAAUCUCUUUUUGCAGUAUACAUCUCGUUUCCUUCCUUUCCAAAUCCCAAUCAGUUUAUAAUUGGUUGUACUGGUUUAGAAGGGCAGCACAGUCUUACCUCAGCCUUUCUCAUGAUCAUGUUCCUAAAGACGACAGGCUGUUAAGCUUUACUGGGGUAUUGGAUCGGAUUCCCUGUAAAAUGGUUAGAAAUAACAAAGGAAAUCGUCAUUUUUUCUGGGACUGUAAUUCCUGAUUUUUAAGUAUCGUAAUUUUUCACGAUUCUUGGUGGAGCGAACUGCUGAGUUAUCAUCCCAUUUUUAUUUUCUAUGUUUUUAUAUAACGAAAUGGCAUAUGUCAUUAUGCUAUGAAGCACUGUCCUUGAUCUAAAAAAGGGCAAUGUUGAAGCUGUUUGGUAGAGAGGCACAGUGAUUGCCAUAAUGUUCCAGAACAAGAAAGUGAGCUUUUCUGGAAUGGUCCUCACUGUCAUCGUGCAGAAUGUGAGAAGAUUGUGCAGAGGGUUUUAAAAGCUCGUUGUUGAAAUUAUAUUUUUCUUUGCAUUCUGUGAUAUGGGCGAUAGUUCUUUGGACCUAGCGUGUGUUACACUUGCUGUUGGCUGUGGUAUUUUCUCAUCUGACUGAGGUAUCUAUCCCCAGUUAUCACCCCUAUGUAUAUGUGGGUUUGCAAAGUGCGUAUGUGAUGUGACUCGUGUUAAUUCACAGAGUGAAGCUUCUUCUUUUGAUUCCUACCUGUGGUUGCGCAGUCUUUAUGCCGUUGUAAAUCCUUUGCUUAAUUCGACUGGCCAACCUUUUUUGCAGGGAAAAUAAGAGCCUAACAGGAACAGCUCGAUAUGCUAGUAUCAAUACUCACCUCGGCAUUGGUGAGGGGAUCUUGGUUCACGUGUUGAUAACCGAUGAUUUUCCUGUUUUCUCAUUUUAUGCAACAAAUAAGAGCCUAACAAGGGUUUAUCUUGUUGGUGCAGAACAAAGUAGGAGAGAUGAUCUCGAGUCUCUAGGUUAUGUUCUCAUUUAUUUCCUAAGAGGAAGGUUUGAAUCGAUGACAUUCUCUGCUGUGGAGUAUUGAGUGUGCCUAAUCGGUUUCUCCUUUUAUUCUCCUAUCUGAUUACUUUUUCAUCAGUCUUCCCUGGCAGGGCCUCAAAGCUGGCACAAAGAAGCAGAAAUACGAGAAAAUCAGUGAAAAGAAAAUGCUUACUCCAAUAGAGGUGACUUGAGUUGCUUCUCUACUAGUUAAUUCCAUUUCAAUUUUAUAAGGUUUACCAAUGCUGGGGUAACUUUUACAUUUCUAGAUAACUGUUGGUGACUGUUAAAGAUUACUGAUUUUUUCAAAACUAUGAACAGGUUUUGUGCAAAAAUUUUCCACCAGAAUUCAUGUCAUACUUCCAGUAUUGCAGAUCGUUGCAGUUUGAUGGCAAACCCGAUUACUCCUACUUGAAGCGACUUUUCCGCGAUCUCUUUAUCCGAGAAGGUAUGUGUAAGCGAGUUUAGCAGUCACGGUUUAUCCCUCUGUUCGUCACCGAAGCUUUUCAAGUGGGCAACAGUAUCUAUUUUUGAACACUCCCCUGCGUGAUGGUUGAUAUCGCUUAGUUUUUUUUUUUCUCAGGCUAUCAGUUUGAUUAUGUAUUUGACUGGACUAUAUUGAAGUACCCGGGACAUCUAAGCACUGGGGUACAUUUUUUUCUCAGGCUAUCUAUCGUUUGUUUUCUUGACCGUGGUAUUUUUCAAAAUUUGGCAUGUCGAAAAUGCAUGUUCACAUGGAUCAAUUGCCCAUCUUUCAGUCGCAGACUGGAGAAACAGGUGCAGGCAUUGGAUCAUCUGCUAGUAGACCAGAACGGACAUCAGGUUUGAUUUAGGAAACGUUGAUUUUACAGAUCGUUCAGAAAAUCUCAUCCGUUUGUUUUUAUGAUUCACUAUUGUGGUAUAGAAGCCCUCCUCUCAAUGCUCAUGCUAUCCAUUCUCUGGGGCAAAAGAUUCGUAAUAGAUUCUCUGGUGCAGUCGAGGCGCCUGCUAGAAGGAAUGGCUCAGGUUCUGGUCGCCUUGCUGAUCACUUCAAGCUCAAACUAUCGGAGGAAGUGCCUACGUCAUCCAAAGAACCUGUCAGUCCUCAACUCCCUAACCUUUCCAGUUAAUUUCCUUGCUCGCAUGAUUUUUCAUGUCACACAAAAUCGAAUCCUAAGAAACAAGUCCAUGCGGCCCAUAGAAGAAAAGAAAAUCUGGAGAGUUGGAUUGGCUGGUUCUAGGGCUCUUUGAUUAUUAAUUCGUAUCAUAAUGUUGAUGAGGUUUCUGGUAACGUUUUUGAGUUCUACGCAUCGCUCUUAAUCUGUGCGCGCACAGGCGCGCAUGCUUCGCGGAUGAUUUGCCGGCUAGUUUUGGAUCGUUGACCGCAACGCGUUGCUCUCGUGCGAUGCGGGACGACUCGAUGAUUGCUCUCCAAUUGUGUGUUCUUGGACGCCAGUGGGGCUCGCUCGUGGAUUAUUCCGGUCAGCGGACUUAGAUCGCCGGACACCGACGUCUUUCUUCUGCCCGCUGUUUUUCAGAUGGCAGAUUCCGAGAAUCCCGGGGGCUCCUCGUCGCGGAACGGCAGCAGCUCGAAGAGGGCCGUGGUCUCGAGCAGCAGGACCCCGAGCUUCUCCUGCGAGCCCAUCGACCAGCAGCUGGCCCGCGCCAGCCGUGUGAUUUCGGACAUCAGCGCCCGCCCAGCCGCCGCCGCCGCCGCCGCCGCCCCGAGGAUUCCUCCCUCCGCCCUCGAAUCCGCUCCCAAGGUCCUCCCUCGCCACACCGUCGGGAGGAGCUCCCGCGACGACGCUCUCAAGGCGUUGGAGUUCCUCUCCAUAGCGGCCGAGAAGAGGAAGUGACGGCCAUGCGUGCCUCUCUCCCUCGCUUGCCACCAGUACUGAGCUGAGGAGGAAGGCUUCUCGCGCCGCCCCGCCCCGAUGUCGAAGGCGGCGAACGAGUGCCCCAACUCCCUCCGGGCUUGUUGUUUGACGUUUACACCACUUGUGUGUUGGACCCCGACCGGGCUCUUCUUCUUCUUCUUCACUGAGGUUCCUCCUGUAUAAACGAAGAAGAAAAAAAAAAAACUCUCGUGGAGCUUUUUCGUCCCCAUCAUUGUCUUUGAUCACAGCAUCUCACCCACCCUCAAUUUUCUAACCCUCUCUCUCUCUAUCUUAUCUCUCCACCGCGAGCUCCAGUGUCUUCGAGCGGUACAAUAUGGUGGUAGGAAUCUGUCUAUUCUCUCUCUCUCUCUCUAAGAAAUAUCUAUAUAUAGCUCUGAGUUUUGGGGCAGCCGUUCUGAGUUCUGGGGACUAUGGAUUGGAGGAGCUAAAGAGUUAUUACGGGUGGGGUGGUCGGUUUGUUUGCUGCUGAUCGUUGGAAGCCUUCAGUUAUUCGGAGGAUUUGGGCGUCGGAGUCGACUGAGGUGAAAAGUCGCCGUGUUUUCGUCGAUUUUUAGGUGUUCAUGGUAUUCUGUUCCUAGGCUGCUUGAAUUCUUGGUUGUUGAAAGAUAAUUACGUCGCCCUUGCCGCAUAUUCGGGCAACUUCCAGCCAUGGAACGCGUCAUUGCUGGGAAAUUUAAGCUUAGGAGAAAGAUCGGCGCUGGAUCUUUUGGCGAGAUUUACCUCGGUAUUUUGGUAUAGAGGCCUUCCUGUUCCGCCUCUUUUGGGUGAUCAUUCGCUAUCCGCGAUUCUCGCGAGGUUCCUAAUUUUGCUCUUCGUUUGUUUGCCUUUUUCAAGGUGUUAACCUACAAAGUGGAGAAGAGGUCGCCGUCAAGUUGGUAUGUCUUGUUGGCUUGUCUCCCCUCUUUCACUUACAUGAACCUGGUGAAGAAAUGAACGCUGGGCAUCUUAAUCGAACGGGUUGCAAAUGCAUCCGAAGAUUAUUCUUUCUUUCAAUGAUAGAAGCGGCGCCCUCCUUUGGUCCAUUCAUUUUCCCUUUGCUCGCCCAAGUUUUAAACAUCCUGCUACAAUCCAUCGAGCAUACUGUGAUGUCUAAAAGGACAUGCCGGAUUCCGUGCAUUAAAGGAUUGUCACCGCCCAGCCUUUUCACUGGUGAUUGGCAUUUACAUAGUAUGCAUCCUGUGCUUGUAUUUAAGGAGAUGGGUUUGCCUGGGAGUGUCGAAACUGAUUGCCCUUAUCGUUUUCAUUUCACCUUUUUGGGUAGAUAUCCUCCAGAGGAAAUAAAUCGUGCAAACAGGCCCCUAAGUUGUGUCUAUGCAGUCUCCUGGGCGUUGGAACCAUUGAUGUUCGCUAUAUAAGAUUCAUCUGAACAACAUUUAUUAAACAGCCAGUUCAGAGAAUGCCCCCCUUUUCCAAAGUAUUCAAGCAAUUGCUUUGAAGGAAGGAUUUCUCAGGCGGAAGGGCAAGUAAUGAUACUUUAGGAGCAAUUGCAGAUUUCUUCAGUGGAAUUUGAUUGGUACCUAGAUAAUCAUAUUUUUUCUUCGUUAUUGCUUGUCCAUAUGGUGUACAUAUAAAGUAUAUGACUUCAUCUUUAGAGCCAUUUCAAAUCCAUAAACGGCCUACCCAGCGCUUAUUUAUUUCUAGUGAAAUUUAUGAAAUUUCACUAGAAAAGUAAUAUGUGCUCAGUAAAGUAGGCUUUAUUAUCUUUUUUUUACUAAUCAUGCGUGAUAGAGAAUGGCAAUUAAUUUUGUCUAUAUUUUAUUCUCUUAACUCUAUACUCACUACUUUGCUUUAAUACAUCUUGUAGUCACAUGACACUUGCUUUAUAAUUUGUAGGAACCGGCACAGUCCAAACAUCCCCAGCUGCAUGAUGAGUCUAAAUUGUAUAAACUUAUUCAGGGAGAAAGUGAGUAUUUCUAACGGUCGGACGUGCUAUUUUUCUAUUAUUGCCUACUUUCCUUCAGUUGUAAUAGAAAGUGCUGAAACGCUUUAUUUGAAGUGCCAUGCUGAUUUAUCUAUCUUGAAUGAAGCUGGAAUUCCCCACAUGAGAUGGUUUGGUGUGGAGGGCAAAUAUAACAUCAUGGUCAUGGAUCUUCUUGGACCAAGCUUAGAGGACUUGUUUAACCGCUGUAGUAAAAAGCUCACUUUGAAAACAGUGCUGAUGCUUGCAGAUCAAAUGGUAAAUGAUAAUAAAGCUAACACUAAUCCCAUUAGAUCUCCUCAAUUUUUGGCAUCAGUGAUAAUCUUUUUUUUGCUUUGUUUUACAGAUCAACCGAGUUGAAUACAUGCACUCAAGGGGCUUCCUUCAUCGAGAUAUAAGUCCAGAAAACUUUCUUAUGGGUUUAGGGCGUAAAGCAAAUCAGGUACAUCUUUCCCUUCUAGGACUUCUUCUCAUGGGGGUUCAGUGGAUUCUGAAUUUAUUUAAUGCCAGGAGAAAGGAUGUAAAGUCCUAUGCUGAUUCCAACUAUUGAAUACCAAUUAAAUGUGUAUGCUCAAUAAGAGUGGAUCUACCGCGAUGCCUCACUAUUUUCGAUUGUUGUGUGUCAGAGUUUUACUUCAUAGUUUGUCAUGUGGCCUAUUUUCACAUUUGCUAAAUAAUUAAGAAUUAAUUUCUCUUAGAGAGUGUGUAUUUUUUGAUUAAAUGAAUGAAUAUUUCAUUUUAUUUAUGUACAAGAACAGGUUCAUGAUCGUAUAUCAUUCUCAUUUUAAAUGCAGGUUUACAUUAUUGAUUAUGGUCUUGGAAAGAGGUAUAAAGACUUUGAAACACGUAAACAUAUUCCCUACAGGUAAUUCUUUUGUUUUGUUAAAGAAAGAAGGAACUUCAUAUAAAAAUUCUCGUCUAACAUCAGUUCUUGUCCAUACUUGUUAUUUGAAUGGCCACAUCUCCUGCAUUGUAGCUCAAUUAUUUCAUUGGAGCGUCAUCCUAAUUAAGACCUUGCCUUAUAAUCUCUUUUUGCAGUAUACAUCUCGUUUCCUUCCUUUCCAAAUCCCAAUCAGUUUAUAAUUGGUUGUACUGGUUUAGAAGGGCAGCACAGUCUUACCUCAGCCUUUCUCAUGAUCAUGUUCCUAAAGACGACAGGCUGUUAAGCUUUACUGGGGUAUUGGAUCGGAUUCCCUGUAAAAUGGUUAGAAAUAACAAAGGAAAUCGUCAUUUUUUCUGGGACUGUAAUUCCUCAUUUCUAAGUAUCGUGAUUUUUCACGAUUCUUGGUGGAGCGAACUGCUGAGUUAUCAUCCCAUUUUUAUUGUCUAUGUAUUUAUAUAACGAAAUGGCAUAUGUCUUUAUGCUAUGAAGCACUGUCCUUGAUCUAAAAAAGGGCAAUGCUGAAGCUGUUUGGUAGAGAGGCACAGUGAUUGCCAUAAUGUUCCAGAACAAGAAAGUGAGCUUCAAGGUUGUGUAGCGAAGUAUUCUAUUCUUUGACCUUGACAGGUGCAGUUUCUAGAAUGGUGCUGACUGUCAUCGUGCAGACUAUGAGAAGAUUGUGUCGAGGGUUUUAAAAGCUCGUUGUUGAAACUAUGUUUUUCUUUGCAUUCUGUGAUAUGGGCGAUACUUCUUUGGAUCUAGUGUGUGUUACACUUGCUAUUGGCUGUGAUAUUUUCUCGUCUGACUGAGGCAUCUAUCCCCAGUUAUGUUGCGUAUGUGAUGUGACUUGUGUUAGUUCACAGAGUGGAGCUUCUUCUUUUGAUUCUUACCUCUGGUUGCAUAGUUUUUAUGGCGUUGUAAAUCCUUUGCUUGAUUCGACUCGCCAACCGCCAACCUUUUUUUGCAGGGAA
This 6815-nucleotide long non-coding RNA is filed under the name Spirodela polyrhiza (greater duckweed). Its description in RNAcentral is "long non-coding RNA (SPOL_LNC001065)". The record is from RNAcentral. Lineage: Eukaryota; Viridiplantae; Streptophyta; Magnoliopsida; Alismatales; Araceae.